UUUUCUAUACAUUUGUGAACUUCUCUUUUUUUCUUUUUUUUUCUCACGCUCUCUCUUUUCCCAAACCUCUUUUCUUUCUCUCUUCUUUCUCUUUUCUAUUGCAUCUCUCACAUUUCUCUCUGUUUCUUUCUUCUUCAUUUUCUCUCAUUCAUUUAUAUGGAAUCUCUUUAUCUUCAACAAUCUUUUGCAUAUUUGUGAUUUAUUUUUGUUUUUUAUUUUAUUUUUCAGGUUAUAGAUAUAUAGGAAGACACAAACUCAAUAAGAAAAGGUUUAUAGGUCUACGAAUGAGAAAAUGGAAAAAGUUAAACAACAUCCAUAAAAGAAAAAUGAUCACAAAACAAUAG
Non-coding RNA from Vicia faba (fava bean), 344 nucleotides. Lineage: Eukaryota; Viridiplantae; Streptophyta; Magnoliopsida; Fabales; Fabaceae. The record is from the annotation of a GenBank genome assembly.